UACGUAGGGCGCAAGCGUUGUCCGGAAUUAUUGGGCGUAAAGAGCUCGUAGGCGGCUUGUCACGUCGGGUGUGAAAGCCCGGGGCUUAACCCCGGGUCUGCAUUCGAUACGGGCAGGCUAGAGUGUGGUAGGGGAGAUCGGAAUUCCUGGUGUAGCGGUGAAAUGCGCAGAUAUCAGGAGGAACACCGGUGGCGAAGGCGGAUCUCCGGGCCAUUACUGACGCUGAGGAGCGAAAGCGUGGGGAGCGAACAGG
RNAcentral lists this ribosomal RNA (253 nucleotides) under uncultured bacterium. RNAcentral's name for it is "partial 16S ribosomal RNA". It matches the Rfam family "Bacterial small subunit ribosomal RNA", at positions 524 to 776 of the family's 1533-position model. The record is from RNAcentral.